This 465-nucleotide ribosomal RNA is filed under the name uncultured bacterium. Its description in RNAcentral is "partial 16S ribosomal RNA". It matches the Rfam family "Bacterial small subunit ribosomal RNA", at positions 338 to 795 of the family's 1533-position model. The record is from RNAcentral.
CCUACGGGAGGCAGCAGUAGGGAAUCUUCCACAAUGGGCGAAAGCCUGAUGGAGCACCGCCGCGUGGGUGAAGAAGGUCUUCGGAUCGUACAACCCUGGUGUUAGAGAAGAAAGUGCGUGAGAGUAACUGUUCACGUUUCGACGGUAUCUAACCAGAACGCCACGGCUCACUACGUGCCAGCCGCCGCGGUAAGUCUGAGGUGGCAAGCGUUGUUCGGAUUUAUUGGGCUGAAAGGGAACGCAGGCGGUCUUAUAAGUCGAGUGUGAAAGCCUUCGGCUUAACCGGAGUAGUGCAUUGGAAACUGGGAGACUUGAGUGCAGAAGAGGAGAGUGGAACUCCAUGUGUAGCGGUGAAAUGCGUAGAUAUAGGGAAGAACACCAGUGGCGAAAGCGGCUCUCUGGUCUGUAACUGACGCUGAGGUUCGAAAGCGUGGGUAGCAAACAGGAUUAGAUACCCGGGUAGUC